AAUCAGGGGCGGCGCUACAGGGGGUGUGUGGGGGGGUGGAACACCCCCCACUCGUCAGCUAAUCGGCAAAUUGUUAUCUCAGUCGGCAAAACUGGAUUGGCUAAAGAUAACCACUGAAGAAACCAAAAUUGACCUCCUGAAUAAUUGAAUUCAAACCGAAUAUCACGAAUAGCAUGCAUCAAUGAAACCGCACAUGCAGCAAUGCAAUUUUUUUCGAAUACAGUAUCUUCACUUCUGGCAGCUAGUCCAAAAAUAUAAUAUUUUUGAAAUCAUAAUUAGGUAAUUAAAUUUGUUUGGUUGUUGUUGUUGUUGUUGUUGUUGUUGUUGUUGUUGUUGUUGUUGUUGUUGUUGUUGUUGUUGUUGUUGUUGUUGUUAUUGUUGUUGUUGUUGUUGUUGUUGUUGUUGUUGUUGUUGUUGUUGUUGUUGCUUAUUAUACUGUUCUAUAAAAGAGGCAAUAAAGUCGGUUUUCCACUAGC
This is a non-coding RNA of Paramuricea clavata, 476 nucleotides long. The record is from the annotation of a GenBank genome assembly. NCBI's taxonomy places the organism in Eukaryota, Metazoa, Cnidaria, Anthozoa, Malacalcyonacea, Plexauridae.